UACGUAGGCAGCAAGCGUUGUUCGGAAUUACUGGGCGUAAAGCGCGUGUAGGCGGCCAUGCAAGUCGGAUGUGAAAGCCCUCGGCUCAACCGGGGAAGUGCACUCGAAACUGCAAGGCUAGAGUCUCGGAGAGGAUCGUGGAAUUCUCGGUGUAGAGGUGAAAUUCGUAGAUAUCGAGAGGAACACCGGUGGCGAAGGCGGCGAUCUGGACGAUGACUGACGCUGAGACGCGAAAGCGUGGGGAGCAAACAGG
Molecule: ribosomal RNA, 253 nt
Filed under: uncultured bacterium
Lineage: Bacteria
Description: partial 16S ribosomal RNA
Rfam family: Bacterial small subunit ribosomal RNA
Source: RNAcentral